UGGGGAAUAUUGGACAAUGGGCGCAAGCCUGAUCCAGCCAUGCCGCGUGAGUGAUGAAGGCCCUAGGGUUGUAAAGCUCUUUCACCGGUGAAGAUAAUGACGGUAACCGGAGAAGAAGCCCCGGCUAACUUCGUGCCAGCAGCCGCGGUAAUACGAAGGGGGCUAGCGUUGUUCGGAUUUACUGGGCGUAAAGCGCACGUAGGCGGACUUUUAUGUCAGGGGUGAAAUCCCGGGGCUCAACCCCGGAACUGCCUUUGAUACUGGAAGUCUUGAGUAUGGUAGAGGUGAGUGGAAUUCCGAGUGUAGAGGUGAAAUUCGUAGAUAUUCGGAGGAACACCAGUGGCGAAGGCGGCUCACUGGACCAUUACUGACGCUGAGGUGCGAAAGCGUGGGGAGCAAACAGG
RNAcentral lists this ribosomal RNA (404 nucleotides) under Verrucomicrobiota bacterium. RNAcentral's name for it is "Verrucomicrobia bacterium partial 16S ribosomal RNA". It matches the Rfam family "Bacterial small subunit ribosomal RNA", at positions 355 to 776 of the family's 1533-position model. Lineage: Bacteria; Pseudomonadati; Verrucomicrobiota. The record is from RNAcentral. RNAcentral also lists the same sequence under 1 other name.